Molecule: ribosomal RNA, 468 nt
Filed under: uncultured bacterium
Lineage: Bacteria
Description: partial 16S ribosomal RNA
Rfam family: Bacterial small subunit ribosomal RNA
Source: RNAcentral
GACGAACGCUGGCGGCGUGCUUAACACAUGCAAGUCGAACGGAAAGGCCCUGCUUUUGUGGGGUGCUCGAGUGGCGAACGGGUGAGUAACACGUGAGUAACCUGCCCUUGACUUUGGGAUAACUUCAGGAAACUGGGGCUAAUACCCGAUAGGAGCUCCUGCUGCAUGGUGGGGGUUGGAAAGUUUCGGCGGUUGGGGAUGGAAUCGCGGCUUAUCAGCUUGUUGGUGGGGUUGUGGCUGACCAAGGCUUCGACGGGUAGCCGGCCUGGGAGGGUGACCGGCCACAUUGGGACUGAGAUACGGCCCAGACUCCUACGGGAGGCAGCAGUGGGGAAUAUUGCACAAUGGGCGGAAGCCUGAUGCAGCAACGCCGCGUGCGGGAUGACGGCCUUCGGGUUGUAAACCGCUUUCGCCUGUGACGAAGCGUGAGUGACGGUAAUGGGUAAAGAAGCACCGGCUAACUACGUG